AGCGGCGGACGGGUGAGUAACACGUGGGUAACCUGCCCAAGAGACUGGGAUAACACCUGGAAACAGAUGCUAAUACCCGAUAACAACACUAGACGCAUGUCUAGAGUUUGAAAGAUGGUUCUGCUAUCACUCUUGGAUGGACCUGCGGUGCAUUAGCUAGUUGGUAAGGUAACGGCUUACCAAGGCAAUGAUGCAUAGCCGAGUUGAGAGACUGAUCGGCCACAUUGGGACUGAGACACGGCCCAAACUCCUACGGGAGGCAGCAGUAGGGAAUCUUCCACAAUGGACGAAAGUCUGAUGGAGCAACGCCGCGUGAGUGAAGAAGGGUUUCGGCUCGUAAAGCUCUGUUGGUAGUGAAGAAAGAUAGAGGUAGUAACUGGCCUUUAUUUGACGGUAAUUACUUAGAAAGUCACGGCUAACUACGUGCCAGCAGCCGCGGUAAUACGUAGGUGGCAAGCGUUGUCCGGAUUUAUUGGGCGUAAAGCGAGUGCAGGCGGUUCAAUAAGUCUGAUGUGAAAGCCUUCGGCUCAACCGGAGAAUUACAUCAGAAACUGUUGAACUUGAGUGCAGAAGAGGAGAGUGGAACUCCAUGUGUAGCGGUGGAAUGCGUAGAUAUAUGGAAGAACACCAGUGGCGAACGCGGCUCUCUGGUCUGCAACUGACGCUGAGGCUCGAAAGCAUGGGUAGCGAACAGGAUUAGAUACCCUGG
This 709-nucleotide ribosomal RNA is filed under the name uncultured bacterium. RNAcentral's name for it is "bacterial SSU rRNA". It matches the Rfam family "Bacterial small subunit ribosomal RNA", at positions 94 to 790 of the family's 1533-position model. The record is from RNAcentral.